This is an RNA transcript of Gymnogyps californianus (California condor), 3371 nucleotides long. It is a transcript of the gene named zinc fingers and homeoboxes 2, with no coding region annotated. The record is from RefSeq and is a predicted model, not a curated record. Lineage: Eukaryota; Metazoa; Chordata; Aves; Accipitriformes; Cathartidae. The transcript has 3 exons.
UGUGGGCUCCUGGGGCAGCUCCUCUGGGCUGGUGCAAGGCUGAAUAACAGGGCUAAAACUUGGAUUGGGUGUUUAGAUGCCAUUGCUCUGGGCUUCACUGUUUUUUGGUGUCAUGCAGCUGACAGGUCUACUGGUGGAGCUGAUGGUCACAGCCAGGGUGGAAAUUCUUCAUUAAACAAAAGAGAGUAAAAUAAUCAAGGAAGGUUGGAGCUGUUUGCAAGAUCUAUUGAGUUGAUUGCUCGCCCUGUCAAAAAAAGUCAUCAUUUGGGACAACAGCCCGCUGCCAGCGGCUGCCAUGGCUAGCAAAAGAAAGUCAACAACUCCCUGUAUGGUGCGAACUUCUGAAGUCAUGGAGCAGGAAGGCGCCGAGGGCGUAGAAGCUCCUAAAGAGAAGGGGGCUGGCGCACCGCAGCAGGACUCAAAAAAAAAUUGGCCUUCCGAAAGCUCAGUCAAAGACUGCGAAGUGGUUGAGGCAAAGCCCCCAGCUGAAAAUCAGUCUAAGAAACCCCAGGGUGGUUAUGAGUGUAAAUACUGCCCUUACUCAACACAAAACUUAAAUGAAUUUACAGAGCAUGUUGACACUCAGCAUCCAAAUGUCAUUCUCAACCCCCUGUAUGUCUGUGCUGAAUGCAACUUCACAACCAAAAAAUACGAUUCUUUAUCUGACCACAACACAAAAUACCACCCGGGAGAGACUAACUUUAAACUGAAAUUAAUUAAACGCAAUAAUCAGACUGUUUUAGAGCAGUCCAUUGAGACCACCGCUAACGAUGUCACUGUCACAAGCGGUGGGCUAGAAAAUGCAGAGUGUGAUGAUUCGCUUCAUGGGGGAAUUAGUGCGAGUAAAACGCCAAUGAUGAAACUGGGAAAGCCUAAAGGGGAAACCAAGAAGGGUCCCAAAAAGCCAGAAGAGGGAGUUACAGAAAACCACGUGGAUGGCACUGUCCCCCGCAUCAUAACUGAAGCCACUGAAGCUAUUGCUUGUAUAAAUGGAGACCUUCUCCAUGAUGUGUUAGCCCAUGUUAUGCCCUCUGUACAGCUGCCACCAAAUAUUAACCUUGUCCCCAAGGUCCCAGUACCUCUGAAUAGCACCAAAUACAACUCUGCACUGGACACUAAUGCAACCAUGAUCAACUCCUUUAAUAAAUUUCCUUACCCAACGCAAGCAGAGUUGUCGUGGUUGACAGCAGCAUCAAAACAUCCGGAAGAACAAAUCCGAAUCUGGUUUGCUACGCAACGUUUGAAGCAUGGUAUAAGUUGGUCUCCUGAAGAAGUAGAGGAGGCGAGAAAGAAGAUGUUCAAUGGUACUAUCCAGGCAGUUCCCCAAACCAUCACCGUCCUGCCAGCUCCUUUGACAACUGCAAAAAUGCCCCAGCCCAUCAUCCAGACAGCUUUGCCCUGUCAGAUACUGGGCCAGACCGGUCUGGUUUUGACUCCCGUGUCAAACGGUUCAACUGUUUCCUGUUCACCAAUUACACUUGCUGUUGCCCCGAACCAGGGGCAAAAGAGGACGAUACAGACCUUAUCAAGUGCCCCGGAGGCUAAGCGUCCUCACGUAGUUCAGGUGCCUGAGCUUCCUGCCAAGUUGACUGCUGUACCACUGACACCAGCCAGUGAGCGAAAAAAGACGAAGGAGCAGAUAGCAGAGCUGAAGGCCAGUUUCAUGGCAAGCCAGUUUCCCGACGAUGCAGAAGUCUACCGGCUGAUAGAGGCGACGGGUCUCUCCAGGAGCGAGAUCAAGAAGUGGUUCAGUGACCACAGGUACAGAAGUCAAAGGGGCAUUGUGCACAUCCCUGGCGAUGCUUUAGGGAAAGAUCAAAUAGCACCUUCAGCUGGUCGACACGGCCGUUCAUUUCACCCAUACACAGAUUUUACUCCCCAGAGAUUCAAAGAGAAAACCCAAGAGCAGCUUAGAGCCCUUGAGGAGAGUUUCCUAAGAUGCUCUUUUCCUACCCAAGGAGAGUUGGACAGGCUUCGAGUGGAGACUAAGCUGAGUAGGAGGGAGAUAGAUUCAUGGUUCUCAGAGCGGAGAAAGAUAAGGGACAGCAUGGAGCAAGCUGUCUUGGACUCAAUGGGAUCAUACAAAAAAAUUAAAGAACAAGGAACUCCCAACGGUGCAAUAAGCCAGGCAGAACUGCUAAGUAGCUCUCAGCUCCCUGGUGCUUUAUCUGGGUCCUCCACCACAUUUAAGAAAACCCAAGAGCAGAUUCAUUUACUGAAAAGCACAUUUGCAAGGACCCAGUGGCCAUCACCCCAGGAGUAUGACCAGUUAGCAUCUCAGACUGGGCUCACAAGAACUGAAAUAGUUCGCUGGUUCAAGGAAAACCGAUCUUCACUAAGAACGGGGUCGCUUAAAUGGAUUGACCAGUACCAGCAGCAGUACGUUGUUGAUGGUCAUAAUGAGCAAAGCCAGAAAAAGGGAUCAAAACACAUCGAGAGUCCAAAGAAUGGUAACGAGGUGUCUCGGCAGCAUUACCAGGAGCAUAAAAAACUGAAUGAAGAGAAUGCGGGGAAACUAGUGGUGAGAACAAAAAGAGACUGCGAACCACUGAAAGACUCUUUGUUGGGGAAUCAAGCGGAGAGUACAGAUAGGUUGGAGUGCAACAGCCACGACGGCCACGGCAGCGAGGAGAACGAGGAGCCAGCAGAGGUCAACUGGGUGGAGGUGACGGUGGGUGAGGAUGACGCUGCAUCGGACUGUACGGACAGCUGGAGCCAAACGGCACCCGAAGGCCAGGCAGAGCUGGCGGACUUUGACUCUGAAAGUAUAUCUGGAGACAAUUCCCACGUAUAGACAGGUAAUGCUGAUGGUGCCCUGUUUCUCUGAGCCUGCCUCUGUCUGGGUGUGCUUCCAGCAUCCUGUAGCCCCUCUUCAGUGUAAAUCCCUGGAGCCCAUCCCUGCCGGAUCCUUGUGCCUGCUGGAUGCCUGAACAAAAGGGAGACCCAUCCUGCUUGUAAAUUAAAGGAACUGCAUGGGGUACUCCUCAGCUGCACUGUCCUGACAUUGAAGGGGAAAUGCUGUCUGAAAAUAGAAGAAAACUCUAUUUUCCUGCCUGGGGUGAGAUAGCGUGUUGCGACUCCAAGUCUCAAACUGCUCUUGCGGAGGCACAGUGAGAAAUACUCUCGUGGAGCAUCAUCAUGGGAUCGUUUAUAGUGCCAAAGUCCUACUACUGCAUUAAAAGAGAAAAGAAAGAAAGAAAGAGAAAAGGGUCCUUGUACAUAGGUUUCUCCUUAGCUUCUCUCCCACCCACUUUCCUGCCCGGCCUCUUCCUCUACUGGAACAGAUUUGUACAACGUGGAAAUUUUGUUAACUUUUUAAUAGGUGCAAGUUAUUCUUGCAUAUAAUGCCAUUGCAAAAUUUGGGGGUUGGU